CGGCGGACGGGUGAGUAACGCGUGGGUAACCUGCCUCAUACAGGGGGAUAACAGUUGGAAACGGCUGCUAAUACCGCAUAAGCGCACAGUACCGCAUGGUACGGUGUGAAAAACUCCGGUGGUAUGAGAUGGACCCGCGUCUGAUUAGGUAGUUGGUGGGGUAACGGCCUACCAAGCCGACGAUCAGUAGCCGACCUGAGAGGGUGACCGGCCACGUUGGGACUGAGACACGGCCCAA
This 238-nucleotide ribosomal RNA is filed under the name uncultured bacterium. RNAcentral describes it as "partial 16S ribosomal RNA". It matches the Rfam family "Bacterial small subunit ribosomal RNA", at positions 96 to 334 of the family's 1533-position model. The record is from RNAcentral.